GAGAAUGAGACUCUUUUUUUUUUAAGGAGACAUUCAUAGAUGGCUUUAAUGGAGUAUAAAAAUGUAGUUAAUUGGACUCACUUACAUAUGUCGGUAAACACUAGAAGUCAACACUCUCCACCUGCACUUCAUUUAGCUAGCAGAAAAAUAGUUAAGAGUAUAUCCAUGCUUCUGGUGUAUGAUUUGCAGGCUGAAGACAAU
Molecule: unclassified non-coding RNA, 201 nt
Filed under: Hevea brasiliensis (rubber tree)
Lineage: Eukaryota; Viridiplantae; Streptophyta; Magnoliopsida; Malpighiales; Euphorbiaceae
Source: RNAcentral